This 253-nucleotide ribosomal RNA is filed under the name uncultured bacterium. RNAcentral describes it as "partial 16S ribosomal RNA". It matches the Rfam family "Bacterial small subunit ribosomal RNA", at positions 524 to 776 of the family's 1533-position model. The record is from RNAcentral.
GACAUAGGCCUCAAGCGUUAGGCGGAAUCACUGGGCUUAAAGCGUGUGUAGGCGGACUUCUAAGUGCCUUGUGAAAUCCCACGGCUCAACCGUGGAACUGCUGGGCAUACUGGGAGUCUUGGGCCAUUCAGGGGCAACUGGAACAAGCGGUGGAGCGGUGAAAUGCGUAGAUAUCGCUUGGAACGCCGAAGGUGAAAACAGGUUGCUGGGGAUGUGCCGACGCUGAGACACGAAAGCCAGGGGAGCAAACGGG